AGCAGCAGCACAGCCAGCAGCAGCAGCCUCAGUCUUCCUAGGGGACAAGAUAUCAGACCAGACAGGCUGUGAAAGCUGUCCAGCAGAAGAAGGUCACACAGAGCCCGUCCACGUCCACCAUCACUCUGGUGACCAGCACACAGACAUCCCCCCUGAUCAGCAGCUCAGGCUGCACAAGCACCCUCACGUCGUCAGUCAGCGCCGACCUGCCCAUUGCCACCGCCUUGGCCGACGUUGACACCGACUUCGCCAAGUACUCGAGCAAAGUGGGUGGCGGGCUCCUGGUGGGCUGCUGCAUGG
RNAcentral lists this long non-coding RNA (300 nucleotides) under Ictidomys tridecemlineatus (thirteen-lined ground squirrel). RNAcentral's name for it is "lncRNA (ENSSTOG00000031893.1)". The record is from RNAcentral. Lineage: Eukaryota; Metazoa; Chordata; Mammalia; Rodentia; Sciuridae.